CUAGGAUUACAGGCAUGACUCACCACGCCCAGCGUCUCUGCUUCUAAUACUCAGCUUUUCUCCUCUGUUAAUGAUCAUCACUUCCCAAGAAGAGACCAGUGGAAAUUUCCUGCAGCCACUGUGUUUAUGAGCAGUGCAUGCAUGUGAUUGGGCACACACUGGCCCACUUUUUCUCUCUUUCUUUUCUCUUUCCUCUCUUUCUUCUUUUACUCAUACCCAUCCCAUCUCUUCAUCCAAGCAGAGGAGCUGCAUAAAUGCUCAGUGAUGAGCAGUUAAUGAGUAAUGCAUCCCACAUGCUGGACAGAACCUCUCCUGGCGUUCUUGAAUCCAGAGAAAUUGCCGGGCUCACGCAUGAAGCAGAGGGUUCCAGGAACCCACACAGGCCUCACAACAACCCACGAGAUCAGUGAUGACUGCCCCCAUUCGCCAGCUUUGCAGGGAGAGAUCAAAACCAAGGCGAUCUUCAGGCCCAAGGGAGGCAGGGAGGAGGCUUGCCGAGCCCACCCCUGUGAAGAGUUCUGCGGGUGUCCAGGCUGAGUGCUCUGCCAUGUGGCUCACUGAGUCACAUCCUCACACAAACCUUCGGAGAGAAGUCCGUUAUUCUUCUCAUUUUACCCAUCAGGAAGCUGAAACUCCAGAAACAGUAAGUCACUUGUCCAAGAACACCCAGACCGGAAGGGCACAUUUCCAUGUCUGCAUCUCAAAAUGAGUAAGUUGCUAGACCACAUAAAAUUGUGUUACCCCUAAAAUAAGACACUGGCACAGCAGCUGGUACACAGUAAGUACUCAAGAAAUGAGUAGUAUGAAAGAACCCACCCGACAGGCGGCUGCUGAGAACUUCACUUGGCUUCGGGCCGGUCAAACCUUCCAGCGUGGAUGAGAAUCCAGUAGUAGCAGGUUGCACAGUUUCAGUUUAUCUCAGACACCCAGAGUUUGGACCUUCAAGACGCAGCACACAAAUGGAUGUAAAUGAGAUGCAAAUCAAGCUGUCCCCAGAUUAACAGGAAAUCAAAUAUCUCUAGCGAUAGCUCUUUCCUCUCCUUAUGGAGAUCAAGGGCAUGGGCUGUCUCUGAAGGCAAUCCAAAGCUCACAUCUGUCUGACUUCAUGAUUACCACCAGCUCUCCCAGACAGACAAUGCCAUCGCCAAGCACUGCCAUGGCAGUGCUUUCAGGGGCCCCGAUUCCAGGGCCUUAUUUCCCCUCAUCCUCUUUGAGGAGUGAGGGCCUCACAGGUUUUGAUCUUCGGAUCAGAAGAGAAGGUGAAAUUUCUUCUUGCUCAGGACUUGGCGAGUGAGAUCAGCUCUAAGUAGAGGCCCUGUAAGAGGCAUCUGCAUGGCAACAGAAAUUAGAACUGCAGUAAUGUGAUGUAACAAGAAAUAUAUACUUGGUUUCUGCCCCCGGUUCCAGGCACAGAGCUCCUAAAACCCUUGUAAUGUUCCGAGCAACAGGGGUGCAAGGUACCUCUUUUGUUCUAAUAAUGUUUGGUCUAUGACCCUAGUUCCUGACCGAGUUCCUAAUCCCUUGGAAUUUCCUGGGUGAUAGGGGCAUUUUUUGUUCUAAUUAGGUGACUCUUGUUGGGAUGCUGGGUAAUUUCAGGAUGGGGGCUGGUCCCCAGAGAGACUGGGUCAUAAUUGGAAGCUUGGAACUUUCAGCUCCCUCCUCAUCCUCCAGGAAGGAGAGGGCCUGAGGAUUGAAUUAAUAAGUGACCAUACGUGUGUGAUGAUGCCUUCAUAAAAAUCCCAGAACUAUAGGGUUUGGAGAGUUUCUGGAUUGCUGAACACAAGGAGGUCUGUGGAGGGUGGUACCCCCAGAGAAAGCAUGGAAGCUCCACACCCCUUCUCUCUUACCUUGCUCUAGGCAUCUCUUCCAUCUGGCUGCUCUUCUGUAUAUUUUGUAAUAUGCUUUGUAAUAAAUGUGUAAACACAAAUAAUUCCCCUGAGUUCUGUGAGCUACUCUAGCAAAGUCAUUAAACCUGAAGAGAGAAUCAUAGGAACCCCCACUUUAUGGCUGGUUGGCCAGAAGUACAGGCCACAGUCUGGAGCUCAUGAUUCACAUCUGGAGUGGGGGGCAGUCUUGUGGAACUCAGCCCUUAACUUGUGGGAUAAAAUGCCAUCUCCAGGCAGAUAGUGUCAGAAAUGAAUUAGAGGACACCCAUCUAUUUUCCCCUGGAGAACUGGUUGUUAGUGAGGAGAAAUUCACACACAUUUUGGUGAGCAGAAGUGAAGUGUUCUGUAGUGAGUGGUGUGUGAGUAGGAAAAGCCAUGUGUGUUUUCCUAUCUCUUAUGAUAACAACCAUAGGCAUCAAUAGAGACCUGCAUGGUAUGAUGAGAUGCAGGGACAAUGAGAGCUCUGCAUGGUAUUCUGAGAUGCAUGGUAUGCUGAGAUGAAUGGUAUGCUGAGAGCCCUGCAUGGUAUGCUGAGAUGCAUGGUAUGCUCAGAUGCAUGGUACAAUGAGAUGCACGGUACGAUGAGAGCCCUACAUGGUAUGCUGAGAUGCAUGGUAUGAUGAAAUGCAGGGACGAUGAGAGCUCUGCAUGGGGUGCUGAGAUGCACGGUACACUGAGAUACAUGGCACGCUGAGAUGCAUGGUACAAUGAGAUGCAUGGUAUGCUGAGAUGCAUGGUACGAUGAGAUGCAUGGCACGAUGAGAGGCAUGGCACGAUGAGAUGCAUGGUACGAUGAGAUGCAUGGUACGAUGAGAGCCCUACAUGAUAGGCUGAGAUGCAUGGCAUGAUGAGAUGCAGGGAAGAUGAGAGCUCUGCAAGGUACUCUGAGAUGCACGGUACGCUGAGAUGAGUGACACCAUGAUGAGAUGCAUGGUACACUGAGAUGCAUGGUAUGAAAAGAUGCAGGGUCGACGAGAGCCCUGCAUGGUACAAUGAGAUGCAGGGAUGCAGGGCCUUAACAAAAUGCAAAUGCAAAUGCCUGCAGGUGACAUGCAGAAUGAAACCAGGAGUGUGGAAGGAAACCACCAGGGCAGCCCAAGGAUGGCAAGUGGUAUUGGACCACUGGUGCCUGGGAAGCAAUAGGAACUGGGAUACAUCAGAGGACCUGCCUUGUCUCCAGCUGGAGCCCCCACUUGGAUGGGGCCUGCUACUGCUAUGUAGGAACUGCAGGCACAGAUCAUCUGAUACUUCAGAAGAAGCUAAUGAUCUUGACUUGUAACACGACAUUCUUGAUUACUGGUUCAAUGUGUUGUAACACCAAUGAGCUUAACAAAAAUUUGAGGUUUCUGGCUCAUGGCUUCCUGCUUACAGGACCUGUAUCAAGAAUGGUUUUCAACCUUUCUUCUCGCGGACCCUUUGGAAAUGCAAUGAAUACAAGUCAAAAGAAAAGCCCCGGUGUGAGAAGAUAUCUGCAAUUCAUGUAACUGCCAAGGAUUGAUUUCUAGACUAUAUUAAAAUGAAACCCAACAAAAAACCCUUUAUGAAUCAAUAAAUUAAAAACAAUACAACCCAAUGGAAAAAUGGGUAAUAGACUUGAACUGUACUUUACAGAAAGGACACCCUAAUGGCCAAUAAAUGUAUUAAAAGUGUCAGAUCUUAUUAAUCAUCAAAUAAAUGCAAAUUUAGCAAAAACAUUGCCCAUACACACACCUACAGGACUGGCAAAAGUGAAUCUACCUAACAAUACCAACACUGGCGAAGAUGUGGAAGAACUGGCACUCUCAUGCUGGUGGGAGUGUAAACAGGUAGAAACACUGUGAAAAAUGGUUGGAUUACCAAUAGUCAUCUUGCUUUUUAAACCUUAGGAGGAUAAUGAUCUGGCUUUGGUGUAUUAAAGCUUAAUUAUUUAU
This is a non-coding RNA of Macaca mulatta (Rhesus monkey), 3796 nucleotides long. The record is from RefSeq and is a predicted model, not a curated record. NCBI's taxonomy places the organism in Eukaryota, Metazoa, Chordata, Mammalia, Primates, Cercopithecidae.